This 202-nucleotide unclassified non-coding RNA is filed under the name Hevea brasiliensis (rubber tree). The record is from RNAcentral. Lineage: Eukaryota; Viridiplantae; Streptophyta; Magnoliopsida; Malpighiales; Euphorbiaceae.
GUUCUGUUAUUGAAGUAAUUGGCAGACGUUCAACCAUGUAUGGUGCUUGGUGGGGAAUUGGUGUAAGGGGUGGGUUCCGGAGGUUCAAGUACAUAGAAAUUCAAUGCUUUUUAGAUUCCGAGGAUGACAUCACUAUGGACAUGCCCAUGUCCAAUUGAUCAAGGCAUAGUAAUUGGAAAAUUCACACUUCAGUUUUAUUUUA